CAUCAAAAGGUUAUUCUCUCUCUCUCUCUCUCUCUCUCUCUCUCUCUCUCUCACACACACACACACACAGAGAGAGAGAGAGAGAGAGAGAGAGAGAGAGAGAGAGAGACCCUGAAGAG
RNAcentral lists this microRNA precursor (119 nucleotides) under Marmota monax (woodchuck). The record is from RNAcentral. Lineage: Eukaryota; Metazoa; Chordata; Mammalia; Rodentia; Sciuridae.